GACGAACCGUCCAAAGGUUGUUCGGAAUCACUGGGCUUAAAGGGCGCGUAGGCGGACUGCCAAGUCCGGGGUGAAAUCUUUCGGCUUAACCGGAAAAGGGCCUUGGAAACUGGCGGUCUCGAGGGAGGUAGGGGCAUGUGGAACUUCGGGUGGAGCGGUGAAAUGCGUUGAUAUCCGAAGGAACGCCGGUGGCGAAAGCGACGGGCUGGAUCUCUUCUGACGCUGAGGCGCGAAAGCCAGGGGAGCAAACGGG
RNAcentral lists this ribosomal RNA (253 nucleotides) under uncultured bacterium. RNAcentral's name for it is "partial 16S ribosomal RNA". It matches the Rfam family "Bacterial small subunit ribosomal RNA", at positions 524 to 776 of the family's 1533-position model. The record is from RNAcentral.